GCUUUCCUUCUGACUGAAGCAGGAGCCUACAGUUACAAAGGUUGUGAUCCAAAUAUUCCUGCUUCAAAUAUUAUAUCUGACCACUGCAGAAAGCAUGUUUCCAGGAUGAAGCACUGUCGAGUUGAUACUUCUCAUGCAUUGAAAUCUUCCCCAUGGUUUAGGUUUCCUUAUCCCUUACAAUGGGGUACUCCUGUCUUUGAGUGGAAAAUGGCCCUUGUUAUGUGUGUGGUGUCCAUUAUCGCAUCUGUGGAUUCGGUUGGAUCAUAUCAUGCGUCAUCAUUGUUGGUGGCAUCUAGACCUCCAACCAGAGGUGUUCUUAGUAGAGGGAUUGGCCUUGAAGGGCUUUCUAGUGUCUUGGCUGGUCUUUGGGGUACUGGAACUGGCUCCACAACUCUAACUGAGAAUGUGCAUACUAUUGCUGUG
This 423-nucleotide unclassified non-coding RNA is filed under the name Hevea brasiliensis (rubber tree). The record is from RNAcentral. Lineage: Eukaryota; Viridiplantae; Streptophyta; Magnoliopsida; Malpighiales; Euphorbiaceae.